CGCACACUUGCUCGUGCUCUCGUCCGUGUGUACUUUGCCGCGUAAAUCGAGGUGGGAGGCCAUCUUGCGAAUGUUCGUGGUUGUGUCAACGAGGGACGAAGCAUCAUUUCGAGCUGUCGACGAUAUCGCGUUAUCCUGGCGAUGGUACGAAUCCUCCACUGCAAUUUCCCGAUUGUAUGGCCGAUAAAGGUCAAGGCUUCUUACCGAGUCCAACUGCACACUCCAAAAGCAAUCUUUCGACUUGGGUAUUUUACCGCCGCGAGCGAGAGGGAUGGUCCAAUUUGCGGAGCAUAAAUAGAAAUAGGAAACCCGGAAUAGCUUUACGAUCGGUCUCCUGCUUCACGAAUCGCUUCUUCACGCCCCACGUGGAAGGCUUACGUCGCGAUUGGGAGCAGGAGUUACAAGCAGCUAUACCCUGGAUCGUAGAAUGCGACAGGACGAGAGGAGCACCAUCCUGGUUUCCGAGGUCCGCUGGUGUAAAUCUGGCGCCAGGCAGUCAAGGUUACGUCGACAGGGGAGAGGAAAGGGUUCGGGCACUUUGCUUACCACCGUUGGAGGAUAUCCGGGGCCGAUGGAUCUGGACGUGUCCUGGGAUUUGCGGAUUAACUCGACCACCGACGAAGGAAAGACGUUGUGUCUGCGUCUGGCUUAACCGUUGAUGGAUAACGGGGACGAAGGAUGUACGGAGCCAGUUAGUUAUGCUCGCAUUUCGUAUCGUCUCCUGCUCUGCAUCCCUUCGCACGCUCCUGGAUAUCGAGAUGAGGAACUUCGGUAGGGGACCAAGUAUCGGCGUUCCGGAGAAUGACGAGGAGCACAAGCGGGAAAAUCUCCAGGCAGGAUUCCCUCUCGAUUUAUCAGCAAAUAUUUAACGAGACCGGGCGUCCUCGAGCUUACUCGGCACCGGCAUCAAAGCCGCGAAGAAACUCCUCGGGGUCGAGAAGUACCACCUCUGGAAUCAACGCCAGGUCACUGAACCUAAAGAAACCCUAUCGAGUCCCUGGAGUAGAGGAGUAUUCGAACGAGCGGAUCAAAAGAGCAGUCCAGGAGCGUUAAAAGCAGGAACACAACGGGUGUCAAAAAUCGUACAAGUCUUGAAAAUACAACGAACGGCUGCCGCAAGGACAUAUCUCUCGCUCCCAAAUCUCCCAGACGGUCCCAGAGAUCCUAAAGCUGGACGUCGAGAUUUCCAUAUCCCCCACGGAAGGUCGUCUCUUGGUGGAAGCCCCAAGUGUCCCGUCAGCGUUCGCCACGGUGAGACGCAUUAGUUUCGAGGACGUCGACUCGAGCUGUUCCCACGUAGGCCAGAGGAGUCCCUCGAAGAUGUGAACCAUCGAGGGACAAGGAACGUCAAGACCGUCGGGUUCGUUUGGGGCGCAGGAUAAAAUUAGGGCCGACAGAAAGUUGAGAAAUGAAAAUCUCGAUCGCAGAAAGUACUGCCGAAGGGCGACGGCACGAGCAAAUGGGAAAACGUAGUAGAAUAUUACGAAAGUUUCCUUUCGCGUACAAAGUCGAGUCUCUUCGGCCCCGCCCGAUCCAGAUUAAGGGGUGCCCGCUGAAAGAACGGCGAUCGUGCUUCAGGAUUUUUCGCACUUCUAAAGACCGUUCGCUACCCCCUUCGUCGUUCAUUUUUCUCUCUCUGUCCGUCCUCCAAUGGUUUCUCCCUUACGGCUGAAAAGUUUCCCGCGGCCACGAUGGUUUUCCUAUUUGCCGCGGGGACGACGGAUCGCCAGUCGGGGAGUGGGUCGCAGUUUUUGUAUCGGUGGCCUCCUCGCAACCCACACAUUUGAUUGUGCCGCGACGUGACUGAAAUAAACCUGCUGGACUACCGUUUCGUGUCUUGAGAAUCGCCACUGUACUCGGUGAACAAUAUUUACAGAAGAACACUAAUUUUGAAAAAUAAGUCGAGGUAGAAAGCGAUACCUUAGAGCAAAAAUCGUAAUCGUCACGUUGCUCCCACUGAAUACAUUUUAAGUUGCUAUAUGAAACAUCUACUUUGACGACUGUAGCAUUUUAUUUCCAUACUUACACCCACGCGCAUACACCCAAAAAUAAAUUAACCUAUUUCACAGAUGGUUAGCCAAGUAGGUUCGUUCAUACACCAGUAUUAAUAUUCACGAGGUCCAUGUCUAUUCACGUGGCAUGCCAUCUGCGCAAAGUUUUCACCCGAACAUCCCCAACUCGGAACAUUUAUAAAGUUGCCUCGUAAAUCGCGCCACCUUUGCGCGAGACCGAGCAAAGCGGAAGCACGAGUCGUCGGGCUCCGGUGCAUUAAUUAGUCACGAAUCAAUCGGUUUGUUAAAUCGAUGUAACCCAUGUUUGGCGAAUCAAUUUUAGCGUGCUCGACCGUCUGCCCCUUUCAUGUUCUAGAUCAAUGAAACGGCGAUAAAACGCGGCUCCUCGGUAAAAUCGAGUCACCUUUGAAAUUAUCGCGGAUCACGAAAGGACGCGGAAUUUUUAUCAGUAGAGAUGAAUCGGUUCGACGUCGAUUUUCCAAACGUUCCUUAGAUACUCCUGGCAUAUUUCAUUAUUCUUUCUCCGAAUUCGAACAACGUUCGAGCGAAAUUUAAUGACCGUGUUACUUUGCCGUCGAACUCUGGACGUAAAGCGCGGCGAUCGUUUUUAUCUCAAUUGCAAGACGCUUUGACGAGUCGUAAGUACCGUUAGUCCUGCCGCAAAAAGGAACGAUGAGAUGGGGUAGUGGAGGGUAGGUUCGACAAAGUGUCCCUUGUCCCGUGACACGAGGGACCAUCGAAUGGUUCGACGGAAAGACUGGUCGAAUUCGAAGCGUAAUUAACGGAACGUCAUUGCACGAUGGCCAAUAAAGUUCAAAGGAUUUAAUCCGCCCGAGCGAUUCCCCUGAUUCGAAGGGGUUGGGGUAAAUGAGAUUGACGAUGGGAGCAACCAGGGUGGAGACAGAGGUCCGUGGGUGGAAGCAACGUUAAGUUUGUUUUCUUUUGGCCGAGGAACGUCGAUCCUCGAGCCCGACGUUGAGCCGGACAAUCGUGGGGGUAGUUUUUGCGGGAGAAUUCGCCCAUUAAGAGCCGUUUACCCCCACGAGGAGUAACGUACGAUCGCCACUAUGUUUUCCCAGCACCCCGGAUCGCGUUUCACCCUGGAACCAUCGCAACUGCUGCAUCCCGAUCUCCUCGAACAAAUCUUUUUCACCCCCUCGUCGAGGCAAACGAAUGAAAAGUUCCUGGCCGAGAAGACCUCGAGAAGGGGCGGGUUCGAACGAAAUUCUACGGCCGCUCGUUACUCGCGUCGCGAUUUUUCAACGUGACUAACGCCGACGAGGAAAGUAAUAAGGGAAGUAAAGUUUAGCGUCCCUCGCGUCUUGAUGCUUUCUUUCGUUCGACUGUGUCAGCUAAUUAUUUCCGAUAAAUACGUCCUAGGAUCGCUUUCGGUUUUAAUACCGGAGACUCGAAAUUCAAAAUUGUCGAAGUUGUAACCACCGCUAUCCUAGACUGUAUCGUUAGUUUGAUUAACCACGGAACUUCAGGUCCCAGUGAUUCGUCGCGAUUCGUUCGGCUCGCGUCCCAAAGGACGAGAAAAAUGGCGGGAAUCAGUCAAGCAUGCGCCACCCCCGCGAUUACGGAUAAAUACGCACUUAAUAUGUAGAGAGCCGCGCAUAAAAAACUGAUGGUCUGCGAUCAGGAGCGGGUGUCGCGUCGUAUCGAAAGAUCUACGACUGGUCGUUGAAAAGGGCUCGGGUCUUUUUUUUUUUUUUUUAAAGCGAAGGGUGCUCGUGCUCGCGUCUUCGAUAUUUCGAGUAUGGAAAAUUGCGAGCCACUUGUUCUCGCCGCUCCAUCCGCUGCUGCGUCAUAUUUUUUCAACGGGGAGGGUAGUAAUAUUCGAAAUUAAAUUUUCCAGGCUGUUCCAGCCUGGACGCUCGGGGGAAAAGACGCGUUGACGGGAAAUUCAGUAUUCGCGGGGACAAAGGAACUCCGCGGGAAUCUCGUCCAUUGUUUUCUGGGACGGAUCUUUCGCUCCUCUUUCACUUGGGUCUCUUCUUUCUCGUCCACUUUCCUGUUGAUUAUUUUUAACGGCGGGGAGGCGAGCCCUGGUACGGAAACCUGUAAUCUGGUUAUUUAUUUAUUUGCUCGGGAUCGCACCGAUUGCCCGCGAAAGCGAUGCAGUGGUAAUAAUAGGAGGAGCGCGAACGCCCAGCGACGCAAUCACGAGAAUCGUUACGCGAGGGAACGAAAAAUAAAAAUAAACGGCACUUAAAGAGUGUCGAGAUCGGUUUAUAAAUUAAAAAUUAUAACAGAGGAUCAGCUUUAUUAUUAUUACUUUAUUUGGGAGAGCAGACAAAUGCAGUACAAAUAAAAAUACAAUUCCAAAUUCGUUAAUUGAAUUUCGCGAAAUAAGUAACGUCGCAUCGACGACCGAUCUAAACGAUGCUCAUUGUAAACGACUCCUUCGUUUACAACGGAAUAGGAAAGUCGAAACGGAAGUCAAUCAGCCAGGUAUUCCAGUAGUGUUCGCCGUUCAUCGAACGGCAUCGCAACAAUUUCAUGGGCGGGGGCGGCGCGUUCGAUUCGAGGUUUUCCGGCUAAAAGCUCGGGGUCUAGUGCACGGUGAAUUAUUUCGAUCGCUCGACGGAACGGUUAGAAUAUUUGGCCGUUUCGAGGAAGUCCGCAAUAUUCGAACGGAUUUUCCCUCGACGAGUCGCGUCGGAAUUACAUAAAUACACAAGGUGGUGAUCGGAAAAAAUUUGUUCAACACGUUCGAACUCUACUACAAGCACCCUAAAUAUUAGAAAAUCUCACAUCCGAUAGUUUCCUCAAAAUAAAAUCGUAGACGCGAGUUAAUCGGGCCGUUCGUUGCACAAAUCGAUUACAUGAACAUAAGUUGACAUAAAACAAAAAGUUGAGAGAUGCGAUGAAAUAAUGUACAAUUUUUAUGUGAACCGUGAAGUUAAUUGAUUUGUUCAGCGAACGGCUCAAUCGUAUCUCCUCGAAAAAUGUAAUUUGGUCUCUCAACGCAUCCACGAUUAAUAGACUCGAAACGUGUUGUUGUAGAGCGAAACUCGGCGAUUAGCCAGCGCCAAAUUCUCGCUGAAUUUCCACGGAAAACGUCGUGGGGCGGAUAAUUUGUUGGUAUUCCACGAGGAUGAAGCUCGUUUAGAGGGUUUCAGUGUGCGUACGCCGCUUAGGCCUACGGGAUGCCGGACAUAUUCGAAUUCGAUCUGGCCCGAUGCGUUUAUAAUUGCAGCCGAACGUUCUCUCCAGACACGAAUUACCGCUGGAAGCACUCCCGAAUAAUGGAGAACCGGCAGAAACGGCGGUAAGCACUCGGUGUGUGCGUACAGGCACGCUUAAUACGCCCGCCGAAUUUGCUCGAGUUAAUGAAACCUCAAAUCGGUUGCGCAGUUAGCGUGCAUAGUAAUUGAUCGCGAUCGCUUACUUCUAUCUGUGGAGAAUCGAUCGGGCAGGGGAAGGGGGGUUGCACUCGCGUUAAUUACCGAUGGAAAAAUUCUUCGAGGCGUCGGAGAAGUCGCGAAACCCCUCGGAAAAGUGUUUAGGUGAGGUGUUUAAUAUCGUGUAAAGAUGUCGUGAACCUUAAAAUAAAAUUGUCUGGUGUUUCUCGGAUAUGUACGAAAACGUUCUCUGGCACUAGAAGGGUUAAUUUGCAAAGUAUUACUUUGGAAUGAGAAUCGACAGUAAACCAGGGGACUUGUACCCGAAUUUAGACGAGGAAAUUCCGCUUGGAUGUCUUUGUUCGUUCUCCCAAUGGUCGUCCAUGCAAAGUCCACCGUCGUUGUGUCGCGUAUCUCCGGCCGCGCGCAUAGAACGUAUCGCUUCCGAGUAAUCGAACGCGAAAUCCUCGCGAGUCCUCCUGGCUCGGAUUUGGCGUGGCCGAGCGAUGGCGCGCUAGUUAAACCCGAUAGCGGGAACGAAAGCUUUGAAACGAGAGAUUUUCUACGUUUAUUUGUCAUAUCGAUAUCCUCGACGGGCCGUAAUGCACGAGCACAGGAACCCCGUGGAUUCGCACUCGAUUCCCUCCCUUCUGUCUCGCUCCGUGCCCCUCUUCAUCUCCGUUCAUCUCGCUCGCUCGCGGUCCUCUAUAAAUCUCGCGACGCAAUAUUGCGGGAGCGACGCGAGCAACAAAAAAAAAAAAAGAGAGAAAGAAAAAAUGGGGUGGGUGGAAGAAAACAAAAACGGGACAACAAGGAACGUGGAAAAAAAAGAACGCGUUAUAUAUAGCCGCGGUAACGACCAUCGGUAGCUGCAAUUUACAUCAUACGACUGGCGAUCGCCUCUCCGUGAGCAACGUUGGCCUAAAUUUUUGAUUGCUCGCCGAGGAUAACGAACGACGACCACACGCGCAAGCGAGCCAACCCAGGCUUCCGAGGCUCGCGUUAAUUAGCCAGCGAUAAUUAGCUUCGAACAUAUCGCCGUUUCGAGACCGCCUCUCGGCCGACAAAGCUCCCGAGCGUCUGGCUUCGUUUUUCGUCGGCCAGACCCCCUCGACGAGCGACACAGCGCCCGGGGAAAUUAAUAACAAUGUUUUUUUUUUUUUAAUUAGCUAUUUCUGCCCGCGUCAACCAGUCGAAUCGGGUUAUUAACGGCCUGAUUAAGAAUACCUCGGCACGGUUUUCGGUGAAUAUUAAUUUGCUUGCACGGGUUUCGACGCUGCGAGACUUUGGUUGGAGAGUUGCCUUUGUUGAAUCUUCUAGUUUAUAUUUUCCUUAGAUCGUAAUACUUUUCGAGAAACUCUUAAAGAUUUUCAUUUAUACAACUACGAAGUACAGGAUGUGUGAGGAACUGGGAGCCGAGAUUAGGAUGUUUGGUUGAGAACGAGUCUAUGGUCUUUGUCAUGUUUGUGAUUAGCUGCGUGUGUCAUCCAAUAUUUCUCCCUCGCUCACCUACAUCUCUCAUACGCAUAUUUGGCCUCAUCUCAACCCUCUAUGAAGGAUCUUUGAUCUCCCUACCAAGAUUUCCCUGCCCACUACUCGGAUGCUGCGGUCCUGGAAGAUAGGAGGAGUCGGAGAACCAGCGAUAAUUCCUCAGAGGAAUAUUUUCCAGGGGGAGCCAGAGAGCCGUGGCCGCGUCGGAGGGUGCCACUCGCGCGUUCACCCCCUCCGAGCACGAUCUCUCUUACAUUUUCCAUCGUGUCCCGCAAGAUUUCGCAUCCUCGGCCCGUGGUUGGUCCCGGCGUGCGUGUAAAGUGGCGGCUUUCGUCGCGACAACGUCGACGCGUCGGGGGGUGGCGACCCCCACCCCCGUCGAGUGUCUGGUUUAAUGGCGCGCCUACGAGAAGGGCGUUCAAUUUUGUCAGCCGGCACAAAGAACCAAAGGGUGACGAGAACGUGUAUCGCUUAACGCCCCGACUCUCAACCCCACUCCCGUUCGCCUCUCUUUUCGCCGCCUUGUCUACGCACCCUUUCCGAAAGUCGCCCAUUUUCGACGAGGCGCCCUUUGCCGAACAAGGUUAAUAAUAAUUACGAACUUAAGUAGGAGUUUAUGAAAUUUGCCAAGCUUCAAACGGAACGUCGGGCGCGUAGGUCUUGUCGCGCUGCAUCAGAGGUCCACCCUGUUGGAUUCGAAAUUAGGGACGCGGGGGGGUGUGAGGCAGGCGAAGGUCUGUUUGAACUAGAUGAGACGAAUUUUACAUUUUACGUUUAAUUUGUUUCGUUGUAGCUUGCUUGGGAGUUCGAAUAUUCGUCCCUGACGAAUGCAAGUAGUAAUAGCUUGCAUUGGUCAGACGCGGCGAGUUCCCGCUACUUGCUACUUUCCCCGUGAAC
Long non-coding RNA from Hylaeus volcanicus, 7747 nucleotides. RefSeq lists it as uncharacterized. Lineage: Eukaryota; Metazoa; Arthropoda; Insecta; Hymenoptera; Colletidae. The record is from RefSeq and is a predicted model, not a curated record. The transcript has 8 exons.